This 88-nucleotide transfer RNA is filed under the name Hahella sp. CCB-MM4. RNAcentral's name for it is "tRNA-Leu". It matches the Rfam family "tRNA". From Rfam's summary of the family: Transfer RNA (tRNA) molecules are approximately 80 nucleotides in length. Their secondary structure includes four short double-helical elements and three loops (D, anti-codon, and T loops). Lineage: Bacteria; Pseudomonadati; Pseudomonadota; Gammaproteobacteria; Oceanospirillales; Hahellaceae. The record is from RNAcentral.
GCCCGGGUGGCGAAAUUGGUAGACGCAAGGGACUUAAAAUCCCUCGGUAUUUGAUACCGUGCCGGUUCGAUUCCGGCCCCGGGCACCA